Long non-coding RNA from Quercus lobata, 796 nucleotides. RefSeq lists it as uncharacterized. The record is from RefSeq and is a predicted model, not a curated record. NCBI's taxonomy places the organism in Eukaryota, Viridiplantae, Streptophyta, Magnoliopsida, Fagales, Fagaceae. The transcript has 6 exons.
UGAAGAGAAAGCCUAGCGCCCGAGCCUUUAUGCUUUAUACCUGAUACGGUGAUACUGUGAUACCCAAAAUUCAAAACCUGCUGCAACGGCAGCGACGCAGCACCGCAUAAUAAAAAAAAAAAGAAAAAAAAAGGCAGUCGGUACGGCAGUUCAGGGAAUCAGAGUUUUCAAAUCAGAAUCACCAGAUGUGAUCGGAUGAUUUAGAUCGGAGGAAGCUUCAAGCAUGAGCAGUUGAUUCGCUGAGCCAGGCAGCCAGCAAAUCGUAUUGGGGCCCUUCCACGAUACCUAGCCAAAACCACGGUUCAGUACUGAGGAGCAAGUGUGGUCUUUGAAGACUGAGCUGACAUAGGCAAUAGAGAGAGAUGUCAAGGGAGUUGGUGAAAUGAAGGGGAAUCUUUCUACAAUCUAAAGUCUCUAAUUUAAUCAAAGCAAAGAGAAUGGCAGUUAGCAAGCACAUUGUGUUGCAGUUUGGAAAUCUCGUGGUGAGAGGUUGUCCUGUUUGUCAUUGUCCCCUCCACCUUGUAAGCAUUCAAUUGAUGAAUAUAUAUGCAUAGCUCCAACUCCACUCCUUAAUGAUGGUCGAAGAUAUCGAUUUGUCGACUGUCAACGAAGCCAUUAUUUUGGUGGUUUAGCAAUUAAUGCUGGCAGUAUGGUGGGUGGAGACACCGAUCUAGUGACAGUUGCUGGAAACACUAUUUCAGCAAUUCGACCAUCGAACCUCCACCACAAGCGGCUCCAUUAGCCGAGCCAUUGGUGUUGGUAGUUUACUUAAAAUAUAAGUUUAAAUUAAAAAAGU